AAGGGAAAGCUGUGGAGCAGAGAGCCCCGAUGCUCUCCACAAGGAUCUCCUUCCCCGCAUAAAGGACAGAGCCCCCGGCUAGACAGAGCGCUCAGAGCUGCCCGGCUGCUCGGCAGCGACUUGGUGUGAAGAAUCAACUGGCCACACGAACGAGUCCCUUGAUCGCAGCCACGGUCACACCAGGCCAGUGGAAGAAGGCAGGAGAAAACUUUCCUUCUGUAAAACUGAGCAGAAACUGUCCCAGAAGGUCCAGCUACUUGAAGAGGCUACGUCCUGCUCCCCACCAGUAUGGCCCAGUAUCUCAGCUGUUAGAAGUAAGCAUCCCUCUGCUCGAGAGAGAAGAUAUAGUGGAUACGCACCACGGGCCACCCUGUGGUUUUUACCUGCGUGACCACGGGGAGAACAUGUGGACACGGGGUGGAAAAUCUACCUUGACCCUACAAGCACAUGUAUGUGAGCUGCAAAAAAAAACCAAAGACCAAAGGGGGUUCUUCCAGGAAAAUUGCUGCUCCAGUCUCCAGUUCUCCAGACAGCGUAGAAGGGCUGAUCUUACUUCUGAUCUUAAUGAAGGGACUUCUGGUUUGUAUUGACAAGAAAUAAGCAGCGAAUAGCCGCAAAACAUGGGGUUUGUUCCUCUCUUUUUUGUUGUUUUCCUUUUCAUUACUACUACUACUAUUAUUAUUAUAAUAUUUCAAUUAUUAAACUGCCUUUAUCUUAA
Molecule: non-coding RNA, 718 nt
Organism: Phalacrocorax carbo (great cormorant)
Lineage: Eukaryota; Metazoa; Chordata; Aves; Suliformes; Phalacrocoracidae
Source: RefSeq, a predicted model, not a curated record